This 492-nucleotide ribosomal RNA is filed under the name uncultured bacterium. RNAcentral's name for it is "partial 16S ribosomal RNA". It matches the Rfam family "Bacterial small subunit ribosomal RNA", at positions 29 to 507 of the family's 1533-position model. The record is from RNAcentral.
AAUGAACGCUGGCGGUAGGCCUAACACAUGCAAGUCGAACGGCAGCACAGUGAGCUCUUGCUUUUACGGUUGGCGAGUGGCGGGCGGGUGAGGAGUAGAUCGGCAUCUACUUAUACUUGGAUGAUAACGUAGGGAAGCUUACGCUACUACCGCAUACUUCCUACGGCAUGAUUCAGAGGAGAUUGAGACCUUGCGCGAUUGUUAUAGACGGAGCCGGAUUAGCUAGUUGGUGUGGUAAAGGCACACCAAGGCAACGAUACGUAGCCGAGCUGAGAGGAUGAUCAGCCACACUGGAACUGAGACACGGUCCAGACUCCUACGGGAGGCAGCAGUAGGGAAUAUUGCGCAAUGGGCGAAAGCCUGACGCAGCAACGCCGCGUGGGUGAAGAAGGUCUUCGGAUCGUAAAGCUCUGUUAUUAGGGAAGAACAAAUGUGGAAUAAACCCUGCACGUCUUGACGGUACCUAAUGAGAAAGCCACGGCUAACUUCGUG